AGGAAUAUUGGUCAAUGGGCGGGAGCCUGAACCAGCCAAGUCGCGUGAGGGAAGACGGUCCUACGGAUUGUAAACCUCUUUUGCCGGGGAGCAACGGGGUCCUUGCGAGGGCCCAAUGAGAGUACCCGGAGAAAAAGCAUCGGCUAACUCCGUGCCAGCAGCCGCGGUAAUACGGAGGAUGCGAGCGUUAUCCGGAUUUAUUGGGUUUAAAGGGUGCGUAGGCGGGCUGUUAAGUCAGCGGUCAAAUGUCGGGGCUCAACCCCGGCCUGCCGUUGAAACUGGCGGCCUCGAGUGGGCGAGAAGUAUGCGGAAUGCGUGGUGUAGCGGUGAAAUGCAUAGAUAUCGCGCAGAACCCCGAUUGCGAAGGCAGCGUGCCGUGCCGCCACUGACGCUGAGGCACGAAAGCGCGGGGAUCGAACAG
Molecule: ribosomal RNA, 421 nt
Filed under: uncultured bacterium
Lineage: Bacteria
Description: bacterial SSU rRNA
Rfam family: Bacterial small subunit ribosomal RNA
Source: RNAcentral